GGGUUGUGAGGUUAAGCGACUAAGCGUACACGGUGGAUGCCCUGGCAGUCAGAGGCGAUGAAGGGCGUGCUAAUCUGCGAUAAGCGCCGGUAAGGUGAUAUGAACCGUUAUAACCGGCGAUACCCGAAUGGGGAAACCCAGUGUGAUUCGUCACACUAUCAUUAACUGAAUCCAUAGGUUAAUGAGGCGAACCGGGGGAACUGAAACAUCUAAGUACCCCGAGGAAAAGAAAUCAACCGAGAUUCCCCCAGUAGCGGCGAGCGAACGGGGAGGAGCCCAGAGCCUGAAUCAGCAUGUGUGUUAGUGGAAGCGUCUGGAAAGGCGCGCGAUACAGGGUGACAGCCCCGUACACAAAAGCGCAUGUGCUGUGAGCUCGAUGAGUAGGGCGGGACACGUGGUAUCCUGUCUGAAUAUGGGGGGACCAUCCUCCAAGGCUAAAUACUCCUGACUGACCGAUAGUGAACCAGUACCGUGAGGGAAAGGCGAAAAGAACCCCGGCGAGGGGAGUGAAAAAGAACCUGAAACCGUGUACGUACAAGCAGUGGGAGCACCCUUUGGGGUGUGACUGCGUACCUUUUGUAUAAUGGGUCAGCGACUUAUAUUCUGUAGCAAGGUUAACCGUAUAGGGGAGCCGGAGGGAAACCGAGUCUUAAUUGGGCGUUAAGUUGCAGGGUAUAGACCCGAAACCCGGUGAUCUAGCCAUGGGCAGGUUGAAGGUUGGGUAACACUAACUGGAGGACCGAACCGACUAAUGUUGAAAAAUUAGCGGAUGACCUGUGGCUGGGGGUGAAAGGCCAAUCAAACCGGGAGAUAGCUGGUUCUCCCCGAAAGCUAUUUAGGUAGCGCCUCGUGAAUUCAUCUCCGGGGGUAGAGCACUGUUUCGGCUAGGGGGCCAUCCCGGCUUACCAACCCGAUGCAAACUGCGAAUACCGGAGAAUGUUAUCACGGGAGACACACGGCGGGUGCUAACGUCCGUCGUGAAGAGGGAAACAACCCAGACCGCCAGCUAAGGUCCCAAAGUCAUGGUUAAG
This 1031-nucleotide ribosomal RNA is filed under the name Salmonella enterica subsp. enterica serovar Bareilly. RNAcentral describes it as "partial 23S ribosomal RNA". It matches the Rfam family "Bacterial large subunit ribosomal RNA", at positions 1 to 1063 of the family's 2925-position model. The record is from RNAcentral. Lineage: Bacteria; Pseudomonadati; Pseudomonadota; Gammaproteobacteria; Enterobacterales; Enterobacteriaceae.